RNAcentral lists this ribosomal RNA (498 nucleotides) under Triticum aestivum (bread wheat). Its description in RNAcentral is "partial small subunit ribosomal RNA". The record is from RNAcentral. Lineage: Eukaryota; Viridiplantae; Streptophyta; Magnoliopsida; Poales; Poaceae.
AUGAGGGAGUUCCUGAUAGAGAAGGUCUUGCCAGCGAUACAGGCCGUUUGGCCCGAAAGUAAUGCUGGACAGACCAUCUACAUUCAGCAGGAUAAUGCUAAGCCCCAUAUCUUGCCAGAUGACCCAGAAUUUCUAGCCGCUGUUGCAAAAACUGGACUUGACAUCAGAAUAAUACAACAGCCCGCCAACAGUCCUGAUUCGAAUGUGCUUGACCUCGGUUUUUUCAACUCGCUGCAAUCCCUAACAGAUUGUCUGAGUCCUAAAACACUACAAGACCUUAUUAUGGGUGUUUUGGAGGAAUUUGAAGGCUAUGAGGUUUACAAGCUCAACAGAAUUUUCCUAACUCUGCAGACAUGCAUGAUUGAGAUCUUGAACCACGCAGGGGGCAAUGAGUAUAAAACACCACAUGUGAACAAAGAAAGGCUUGAGGGUCUUGGGCAGCUACCUCCAAGACUUCAUGCCCUCGAGAGGUUUACGCAAAUGCCCUACACAAUCUAG